CCUACGGGGGGCUGCAGUGAGGAAUAUUGGUCAAUGGCCGCAGGGCUGAACCAGCCAAGUCGCGUGAGGGAUGACGGUCCUAUGGAUUGUAAACCUCUUUUGUCAGGGAGCAAAGGGCGCCACGUGUGGCGUUUUGCGAGUACCUGAAGAAAAAGCAUCGGCUAACUCCGUGCCAGCAGCCGCGGUAAUACGGAGGAUGCGAGCGUUAUCCGGAUUUAUUGGGUUUAAAGGGUGCGCAGGCGGAAUGUCAAGUCAGCGGUAAAAUUUCGGGGCUCAACUCCGGACGUGCCUCUAAUACUGGAUGACUAGAGAAUAGAUGCGGUAGGCGGAAUGUAUGGUGUAGCGGUGAAAUGCGUAGAGAUCAUACAGAACACCGAUUGCGAAGGCAGCUUACCAAACUAUAUCUGACGUUGAGGCACGAAAGCGUGGGGAGCAAACAGGAUUAGAUACCCUUGUAGUC
RNAcentral lists this ribosomal RNA (460 nucleotides) under uncultured bacterium. RNAcentral's name for it is "partial 16S ribosomal RNA". It matches the Rfam family "Bacterial small subunit ribosomal RNA", at positions 338 to 795 of the family's 1533-position model. The record is from RNAcentral.